GAGGGCGUAGCUCAAUCGGUAGAGCAGCGGACUUUUAAUCCGGAGGUUCAGGGUUCGAGUCCCUGCGCCCUCA
RNAcentral lists this transfer RNA (73 nucleotides) under Phycisphaeraceae bacterium. Its description in RNAcentral is "tRNA-Lys". It matches the Rfam family "tRNA". From Rfam's summary of the family: Transfer RNA (tRNA) molecules are approximately 80 nucleotides in length. RNAcentral also lists the same sequence under 4 other names. Lineage: Bacteria; Pseudomonadati; Planctomycetota; Phycisphaerae; Phycisphaerales; Phycisphaeraceae. The record is from RNAcentral.